AUUUUAACAACAAGAAAUAAAGUGAUUUCUAGAAUUUCUAGAAAUCGAAAAGAAUUUUCAGAAAUUCAUUUAUAAUAAGAGUUGAGUUUUUCAUUACAAAAAAAAAUUCUUUUUUUUAUACCAACAAUUAUAUAUUGCAACAAACUUUAAUCUUAAUAGGCUUCUUUGAGGAAAUGAGAUGAUCUAGCUUUAUCAUGUCUAUCCAAAAAUGAAUAGAUUUGAUAAAUACUAAUAACUCUUUAAUGAAGUAUUAGAAAGGAAAAAUCCAUUAGAUAAUGAACUA
Molecule: long non-coding RNA, 283 nt
Filed under: Durio zibethinus
Lineage: Eukaryota; Viridiplantae; Streptophyta; Magnoliopsida; Malvales; Malvaceae
Description: long non-coding RNA (DZIB_LNC001367)
Source: RNAcentral